UCCGGCUUAUCACCGGCAGUUUCCUCAGAGUUCUCAGCAUUACCUGUUAGCAACAGAGGAUGAGGGUUGCGCUCGUUGCGGGACUUAACCCAACAUCUCACGACACGAGCUGACGACAGCCAUGCAGCACCUGUGCUUCCUCCACCCGAAGUGAAGCCCUCUUUUCGGAGGGCGUUAAGGAGCAAGUCGAGUCCUGGUAAGGUUCUUCGCGUUGCCUCGAAUUAAACCACAUGUUCCACCGCUUGUGCGGGUCCCCGUCAAUUUCUUUGAGUUUUAAUCUUGCGACCGUACUCCCCAGGCGGGGUGCUUAACGCGUUAGCUACGCCACAGAGAGGUAACCUCCCUACAGCUAGCACCCAUCGUUUACAGCGUGGACUAC
RNAcentral lists this unclassified non-coding RNA (379 nucleotides) under uncultured Rickettsiales bacterium. RNAcentral's name for it is "contains 16S-23S intergenic spacer region". Lineage: Bacteria; Pseudomonadati; Pseudomonadota; Alphaproteobacteria; Rickettsiales. The record is from RNAcentral.